GCUACACAGACAGUAAACAUAAUUAUAAAAAUAAUUAUUUCUUUGUUUUGCCGCGCAAACUUUUUAUACCAAAAAAUAUAGCAUCAAAAGAUAGCCACAUCUUUCCCACUUUUACCUAUUUUCAGCUUAAUAUCAGGUAUAAACUAGUAUAAAUAAAUCAAGAUAAUAAGUUAGAAAUAACUAAUAACAAGUUAGUAAAAACAGGUAAUUCCGUGUUGCUUGGGGAAGGGAUAUGAACGGCGGGUUUGAAGAUAAUUUCGAAUUCCCAGCUAGUUGGAAAAAAAACAACAGCACCACUUAUUGUAUUGUAAACAACCGUAUUCGUUUGAGCACUUUUAAAUGCUUUGAAAAGCUUUAAAAAGUGGAAAGCACGUUCAGUUGAUAGACAAAUCCGUGAACAAAACAUCUCAGCUUGGCUGCUUGAUCAAGUCCCGGCGAAAUCAACUGUCCCUAAUGUUAACAAAGAUGAAGAAUGCCUGUAUAAUUUUACUGGUUCUUCUUGUUGCUGUCUGUUCGGCAGCACGAUUUCCAUUCCAGCAGGUAGUCGACGAUAUUCCACAGAGAUGGGAAAGGCAGUUGCGUAGAUCUAGAGUGAAAAGAUUCGAAGAAGGUGGUAUCUGUGAAGGCUGCGCUCAAAUGGUGGCCAAUGAGUGCUUUUGUUAUCAGAUAACAUACUGUGGGGUCGAGGGAUGCGUAGACACUGGCUCAUGUAACAAAUCCAACUGCCAGAGGCUGCCUUAGAAAGAAAGGUACAGAAAGUGUCCUAUAUUGAGACGCCUUCAUUUCCUUGGACGAGCUGCACGUCGUUAAAGAAAGGCUUACGUUUCGCUCGACUUUCUUAGUAUAGUUAAGCACAAUUUUAACAACCGUAAUGACUCUAGAUGUAGAAGUAGAAUAAUAAAAGCUUUAGUUUCAUUGCA
RNAcentral lists this long non-coding RNA (920 nucleotides) under Orbicella faveolata. RNAcentral describes it as "uncharacterized LOC110045480, transcript variant X2". The record is from RNAcentral. Lineage: Eukaryota; Metazoa; Cnidaria; Anthozoa; Scleractinia; Merulinidae.